Molecule: long non-coding RNA, 2885 nt
Organism: Myotis myotis
Lineage: Eukaryota; Metazoa; Chordata; Mammalia; Chiroptera; Vespertilionidae
Exons: 3
Source: RefSeq, a predicted model, not a curated record
GUCAGAGGCGGGCGGGGCGGGGGCGGAUGUGGCUGGAUGUGUGGGGCAGCCCCCGAGCUGUGCCUUGUGGUCUCACAGGUCCCCCACCUGGCACCUUUGGCCCUGGGUGCUGCCCCAGCCCCCUGUCACCUCCUCUCGCCCCUGUCACCUACUGGUUGUUCCCCCCACACACCAAGCUCACGUCUUGCCUCUUGGCCUUUGCACGGGCUGUUCUGUUACUAGGAACGCCCUCCCCAGAUCCACCUCCCAGUCCCCUAGUCAUGCUCUGGCCGUGUUUACUUCUUUAUGGCUCUGAUCUCUGUGUUUGUGACUGCCAGGUGUCUACUGUGGCUCCUCCAUCAGACUGGCUGCACCCAAGGGUGGGCACCCUUUUCUCCUCACUGGAUUUCACAGAUAAGGAAACAGAGGCCCCCAGAGGGGCAGCCACUGCCAGAGGUACCCAGGGACGGCAGUCACCACUCGAACCCAGAGACCCAACCAGCCCGGACCGGCCCAGGGAGCCAUCCCACCUGGCCCCACCUUGCUCACCUUGGCCAGCUCUGCGAGUGUGUUGGCCUGGUCGUUCAGCUUUCCCUGCUCAAUCUUCACACUCCGGAGCCUGGGGACAGGCGGAGUCUGUACACAGACACGCACAGAUGGAGGACAGUAUGAAGACGCAGGAAGAACAGCUCAUGACAAUGACCACUGGAGCGAUGCCUCUGUCAGCUCAGAGCGCCGGACGCUGCCAGAAGCCAGGAGAGAGCCCUGGAACAGAUCCUCCCUGGCACCUUCAGAGGGAACAGGGCCCUGCUGACACCUGGAUUUUGGUCUUCUGGCCUUCGGGACAGUGAUCAUAAAUUCUGCCGCUUCAAACCACCCACUUAUUACAGCCACGGAGACACGCACACUCCCCACUCUGUCUCGUCCGAGACCACCUCUUCCUUUCCUCUGGCUUUGCACACAGCGCUCCCUUCGGGGGCCUCUCCAGCUCAAGGACGUGCCCGGCUGCCUCACGUGUGCAGAGCAGACCCCGUUUCCCUGGCGCGUGCUCGUGCCCACCGCCUUGCCUUCCUCAAGCUGUGGGCACUCCCUGGUGUGCAGCCUGCCCCUCAGCUUCCGGCUCAGGUCUUAUCCACCCUCAGGCCCUAGUGCACACUUGCUUGACUUCAUCAUCUGUUCUUACGGGGCUACUGGUUUUGGUGGGGGGUGGGGGUGCAGAGGGUCUAAAGGUGAGGGCAACAGUCCUGCCCGAGAAGAGAUGGUCACAGAUCAUUCACAGAGCAGGUGCCUUCUCCCCAGACCUGGCUCUCCUCAGUUCUCAUACUCCUGCUUUCCCCAAAGAACUUUCUGGAACAUCCCAUAGGGCAAGAUCCAGGGCGGGGCCACAUCUACUGUCCCCCACUCCGGCUGGUGCAGGAAAUGCUUGUGGAAUGACAAAACGACCAGAUCGAGGGUGGAAGUAACAACAAUUCCAGUUCCUAUAUUUAGAAAACAUUGUGUGGCAGUCAGGCCCAGGUGAGCCAUCCGGUCACCGGACUGCGUUCGAUCGGUAUCACCCUCCUGGGAAAGAGGCACAUCACCAUCAUCUCCGCUUUACACAUAAGGUACUUGGAGUAGUGUAGUCACCUGUCCAGGCCCCACUGUUCGGUGGGAGAGACCGGAUUGGGAACCAGUGGUCAGCUAACAACUAUGGGAGAGUCAGCAAGGGGAGGUCCCUGUCCUCCAGGGUCUCAAAGUCUUGUGAGGAGGCAGGACUAACACCUGGUCACAGUGAAGACAAUGGAUACCAGCUCCUCUCCCGGGUGUUCAGAUGGUGGUGGAAGCAGAGGCAGAGAGCAGGGGCUGGGGGCGAGGUGGACGCUAUGUGCUACCAAGAGGUUGCUCUGUGCUGGGGACCCUGCCAGGCAUUUCUGCGAAUCGUCUCAUUUAGACCUCCCGAAGUCCUGGGGAGUGGGGAUCAUUAUCAUUAGGAAGCAACCCAGUUAUAACAGCAAACACAAUACAUGUAAAGGAACUAAACUCUCCAGUUAAAAGACAAGGAUGGUAAGCAGCAUAAGGAAACUUUUGGGGGGAUGGAUCUGUUCAUUAUCUUCACUGUGAUGAUAGUUUCAUGGGUGUGAAUACAUGUUAACACUCAUCGAACUGUACACUUUAAGUAUGUGCAGUUGACUAUGUCAAUUGUACCCCAAUAAAGCUGUUUCUAAAAAAGAGGUAAACAUGAUUGAACAGAAUUAAACCAUUAAAGCCCAGCUGGUGAGCCUCUUCUCCCAUGGCCUGGCCUCUCCCUGGUAAGUGGUCAUUCUCCUUUACCUCUGGACGCCCCGGCUCUGGGCUGCCCCAGCCGCACCUGGGCUCCCUGCUCUAUCCACCUCCCCACCCCACCACUCACACUGGUGUCCCCUGGGCGGCCUCUUGGUUAUGGCUGAGUCGGUUGCCUUCCUGCUGCACUAGCUCAGACCCUCACUCUGUUCACCUCACUCUAAGUCAUCAGCCCCUGAGUCUGGCCUGUGAGUUCUGGGGGCAGGAGCCCUCUCGGGCACCGAGGAGAAGCCACUUGUGAAUGGGUUUUCUCGUGAUCUGAGACUCGGGAACUCUCUUCAGAGAGACUCAUUCUGAAAAGUGCCUAAGAACGUGUUUUUACUCUUUUAAAUCGGGUGCCACGUGACUCAACCCCACAGAAUUCGGAGCUGUGUAAAUUCUGGACAGGGUGCUGUCUCAUGCACCCUAUAUGUGGCCCUUGAAAUGUGGUUAGUCCGAAUAAAAACAAGCUGUAAGUGUAAGAUAUGCAAUGGACUUUGAAGAUUUAGUACAAAAAACUUUAUAAAGUAUCUCAAUGAUUUUUUAAAUCUUAAUCAUAUGUUAAAAUAAUAAUAAUUUGGAUACACUAAAUAAAUAUAUUAAUUUUA